CCUACGGGUGGCAGCAGUGAGGAAUAUUGGUCAAUGGGCGGAAGCCUGAACCAGCCAAGUAGCGUGCGGGAUGAAGGCCCUACGGGUCGUAAACCGCUUUUGCACGGGGAUAACACCCUCCACUUGUGGAGGUCUGCAGGUACCGUGCGAAUAAGGGCCGGCUAAUUCCGUGCCAGCAGCCGCGGUAAUACGGAAGGCCCGAGCGUUAUCCGGAUUCAUUGGGCUUAAAGGGUGCGCAGGCGGAUUUUUAAGUCAGCGGUCAAAUCGUGGGGCUCAACCCCAUCCAGCCGUUGAAACUGGGGAUCUAGAGUGUGCGAGAGGUAUGCGGAAUGCGUGGUGGAGCGGUGAAAUGCAUAGAUAUCACGCAGAACCCCGAUUGCGAAGGCAGCAUACCGGUGCACAACUGACGCUCAGGCACGAAAGCGUGGGUAUCGAACAGGAUUAGAUACCCGAGUAGUC
RNAcentral lists this ribosomal RNA (459 nucleotides) under uncultured bacterium. RNAcentral describes it as "partial 16S ribosomal RNA". It matches the Rfam family "Bacterial small subunit ribosomal RNA", at positions 338 to 795 of the family's 1533-position model. The record is from RNAcentral.